CCUACGGGUGGCUGCAGUGGGGAAUAUUGGACAAUGGGGGGAACCCUGAUCCAGCCAUGCCGCGUGUGUGAAGAAGGCCCUCGGGUUGUAAAGCAUUUUCAGUGAGGAAGAACGCCUGGUGGUUAAUACCCAUCAGGAAAGACAUCACUCACAGAAGAAGCACCGGCUAACUCCGUGCCAGCAGCCGCGGUAAUACGGAGGGUGCGAGCGUUAAUCGGAAUUACUGGGCGUAAAGCGCGCGUAGGUGGCUUGAUAAGCCGGUUGUGAAAGCCCCGGGCUCAACCUGGGAACGGCAUCCGGAACUGUCAAGCUAGAGUGCAGGAGAGGAAGGUAGAAUUCCCGGUGUAGCGGUGAAAUGCGUAGAGAUCGGGAGGAAUACCAGUGGCGAAGGCGGCCUUCUGGACUGACACUGACACUGAGGUGCGAAAGCGUGGGUAGCAAACAGGAUUAGAUACCCCUGUAGUC
Molecule: ribosomal RNA, 465 nt
Filed under: Vreelandella stevensii
Lineage: Bacteria; Pseudomonadati; Pseudomonadota; Gammaproteobacteria; Oceanospirillales; Halomonadaceae
Description: partial 16S ribosomal RNA
Rfam family: Bacterial small subunit ribosomal RNA
Source: RNAcentral